UAAGGGAUUCCCCUAGUAGCGGCGAGCGAAGCGGGAAGAGCUCAAAUUUAUAAUCUGGCACCUUCGGUGUCCGAGUUGUAAUCUCUAGAAAUGUUUUCCGCGUUGGACCGCACACAAGUCUGUUGGAAUACAGCGGCAUAGUGGUGAGACCCCCGUAUAUGGUGCGGACGCCCAGCGCUUUGUGAUACAUUUUCGAAGAGUCGAGUUGUUUGGGAAUGCAGCUCAAAUUGGGUGGUAAAUUCCAUCUAAAGCUAAAUAUUGGCGAGAGACCGAUAGCGAACAAGUACCGUGAGGGAAAGAUGAAAAGCACUUUGGAAAGAGAGUUAACAGUACGUGAAAUUGUUGGAAGGGAAACGCUUGAAGUCAGACUUGCUUGCCGAGCAAUCGGUUUGCAGGCCAGCAUCAGUUUUCCGGGAUGGAUAAUGGUAGAGAGAAGGUAGCAGUUUCGGCUGUGUUAUAGCUCUCUGCUGGAUACAUCUUGGGGGACUGAGGAACGCAGUGUGCCUUUGGCGGGGGUUUCGACCUCUUCACACUUAGGAUGCUGGUGGAAUGGCUUUAAACGACCCGUCUUGAAACCACGGAGCACACCAG
RNAcentral lists this ribosomal RNA (591 nucleotides) under Rhodotorula mucilaginosa. RNAcentral's name for it is "partial large subunit ribosomal RNA". It matches the Rfam family "Eukaryotic large subunit ribosomal RNA", at positions 68 to 664 of the family's 3401-position model. The record is from RNAcentral. Lineage: Eukaryota; Fungi; Basidiomycota; Microbotryomycetes; Sporidiobolales; Sporidiobolaceae.